GCCUGGCUAGCUAAGUCAAUAGAGCAUGAGACUGUUAAUCUCAGGGUCGUGGGUCUGAGCCCCACAUUGGGUG
Molecule: transfer RNA, 73 nt
Filed under: Callithrix jacchus (white-tufted-ear marmoset)
Lineage: Eukaryota; Metazoa; Chordata; Mammalia; Primates; Cebidae
Rfam family: tRNA
About the family: Transfer RNA (tRNA) molecules are approximately 80 nucleotides in length. Their secondary structure includes four short double-helical elements and three loops (D, anti-codon, and T loops).
Source: Rfam by way of RNAcentral